This 242-nucleotide ribosomal RNA is filed under the name Campylobacter upsaliensis. RNAcentral describes it as "partial 16S ribosomal RNA". It matches the Rfam family "Bacterial small subunit ribosomal RNA", at positions 1231 to 1478 of the family's 1533-position model. Lineage: Bacteria; Pseudomonadati; Campylobacterota; Epsilonproteobacteria; Campylobacterales; Campylobacteraceae. The record is from RNAcentral.
UGGCAUAUACAAUGAGACGCAAUACCGCGAGGUGGAGCAAAUCUAUAAAAUAUGUCCCAGUUCGGAUUGUUCUCUGCAACUCGAGAGCAUGAAGCCGGAAUCGCUAGUAAUCGUGAAUCAGCCAUGUUGCGGUGAAUACGUUCCCGGGUCUUGUACUCACCGCCCGUCACACCAUGGGAGUUGAUUUCACUCGAAGUGGAAAUACUAAACUAGUUAUCCCCCACAGUGGAAUCAGCGACUGG